Long non-coding RNA from Heterocephalus glaber (naked mole-rat), 1785 nucleotides. Lineage: Eukaryota; Metazoa; Chordata; Mammalia; Rodentia; Bathyergidae. The record is from Ensembl.
GCCCCCUCUGUCUCCCGUCCCCGGGGGGUCGGCCUCCGGGCCUGAGCACGCUGCCCCUCGUCUGCACUGCGGUCUCUGGCCUGGGUCCGGCGGCCGCGGCUGAGGGCCGGCUUCUCCUUCACGUUGCCUUCCCACAUUCGGGUUUUGUUCGCCCCUCACUUCCGGGUGCCGCGGGUCUUGGUGAGAGUCACUCAAGCACUGCCUCUAGCCUGCCACGUGUCUCCUCCCCCUUUGAGUUUUUGCUUUGAGACAGGGUCUCGCUCACUCACUAAGCUGCCUGGGCUGGGCCUGAGCUUGCGCUCCUCCUGCCUCAGCUUUGCAGAGUGCUGGGAGUACAGGUGUGCAGCGCCACUGCGGUUUGCAGCCACCCAACUUUCACUGUACCUUCCUCUGCCUGCCUUCCACCCCCAAGGGGGCCACAAACGUCCCCUGUCGCUGUCCCCCCAGGGAAGAGCUGCCCCCCUUCCAACCUGCCAGAGAUCCGCCUUUGGCGCUAACUUCCCGGGUCUGUGGGCCUGUGCUCACUGCUGGCAACUCUCCAGCGAGCUUUCGUCCCAGGCCCCGAGGUGGGGGUGACAGUCCCACAGGUCUCCCCUCUGCAGGGUCCAAACUUCCCCGGUGCCAGUCUCCGGGACGAUGCGCUCCAGCCAGGUGUCUGCAGUGCGGGUCCUGGCCUCCUCAGAAGCCCCACAUACCCCUUCCCAAGACCGGGUCACAGGUGCAGCCCAGCCUGCCUUCGAUUUCUUCAGUCCGCUCAGCUGUUUGGUGGUGUGAAAGUCCCCAGAAGGAAACGGUUGGCUCUGACAGCUGAGCAGAAGGAACUCUUCCUUUUUCCAUGUCUUGUUUAUGUGUCGUGAGGCAGAGACAGAUUGGAGCAUCUUGGGCCGCAAUUUCCACCUGCAGUUGUCUGUUGUGACUCUACUGACUUGUGGUGAAGAUGCCCACUAGGCGAUCCAGCUGUAGCACGAUUGCCUUGAAGGAUUUGCCCUCUGCUCGGCAGCCAUGUGCACCACAUUACUCUCACGACAUUACCAAGGUGGAAGUCGUCAGCCUCACGUCAGAGGGUGAGGUCCAUGCUGGGCUGGGUCUGCUACAGCUGCCUGCAGGCCCGUGCCUGGCUCUGGCAUCCACGCCUGAGCUUCCUUGCCCCUGCCCAGCCUCUGCUGCUUGCCAAGGAGGUGCAGAGACAUUUGGUGAUGCUCACCAGGGCAGCAGGCCCAUGGGGAGGUGCUGCGUGCUCAGGUGUUGUACUCCCCGUGGGUUUGGGAAGAUUUCUGGGCAUUUACCUCGGUCCCAGUAUUUGCUCUGCUGUGCAUGGGGCAGGGCCUGGCUCUGGUUCUCUUUGUUACUGAAGCUCCGUAUUUCAGCAUGUCUGGGGCUGGUUCCUCCCUCAGUAUGUUUCUCCCCCUGAGUUUUUCUCCAUGCUUUCAAACCAGCUCGUGACGCUGCCUGGUUCUGAGGGUGUGGCCUGCCAUCCACUGGGAUUUGUGUCUCUCCCGGGUGUCCCUCUGCCUGCGGGCUGCCAUGUCCCCCAGUGUCCUGUGUCCUCUCUGCACCCUCAGGUGAGCGUCUCCGUCCCUUCCCGAGCCCUUGCCCUCUCUGCUGUGCUGUGGGCUUCAGCAUCUUCCUCCUCCUCGGUGCAUCUUCCCGUUCACAGUCACGAGGCGGCCCCCUGGGACAGCAGUGACAGUGUGUCCCUGCCCGGGCACGGGGCAGACGCUUGGGUGGAGGAUUUUCACCUGCUCUGCUCCCCGGAGUUUCCCAAGGGCCCAGGACAGGCCUGGC